UGUACAUCAGUUCGACACUAAUUUAGUGUUUCGGCGGUUUUUGUGUUAUAUGCUAAUGAUAUAUGUAUAACAUUUAUGAAAGGGUUUAAGCAUUGUAUGCCCGCCAUCAUCAGGGAUUUACCUAUAUCAAUUUAUUUUAAUUUUGUCGUUGUCAAUAAAUCAGAAUAUUUUUUUCUUUUUUUAUGCUUUUUAUAAGCUAUUAUUAGUUUGCUUGAAAAUAUUUCGUUGCAAACUGCAUCCUGUUUUAGUAGAUCCCGAGGUUUACUAAUGCAUUGUUUUAAUUUAUGAAUGCAUGGAUUAAAUUUCGUUGCCAAUACUGAAGGAAUUUCCUUUGUGUUUUCUUUGGC
RNAcentral lists this long non-coding RNA (347 nucleotides) under Mytilus galloprovincialis (Mediterranean mussel). Lineage: Eukaryota; Metazoa; Mollusca; Bivalvia; Mytilida; Mytilidae. The record is from RNAcentral.